This 197-nucleotide small nucleolar RNA is filed under the name Jaculus jaculus (lesser Egyptian jerboa). RNAcentral describes it as "Small nucleolar RNA U3 (ENSJJAG00000004854.1)". It matches the Rfam family "Small nucleolar RNA U3". Rfam says of the family: Small nucleolar RNAs (snoRNAs) are involved in the processing and modification of rRNA in the nucleolus. There are two main classes of snoRNAs: the box C/D class, and the box H/ACA class. U3 snoRNA is a member of the box C/D class. The record is from Rfam by way of RNAcentral. Lineage: Eukaryota; Metazoa; Chordata; Mammalia; Rodentia; Dipodidae.
AAGACUACACUUUCAGGGGUCAUUUCCAUAGUUCCUUCCUAGAGAACUUUCUCUGACUGUGCAGAGUACCUGAGCAGACACAGCAUUCUCUCCUGAGUGUGAAGCUGGCUCUGGGCAUGGCCUUGUGUACUGCCCACUACCACUGAUGAUUGCUCUUCUCUCCCCUGGUAGAGUUAAAGGGAGAGAACCCAGCUGGA